RNAcentral lists this ribosomal RNA (207 nucleotides) under uncultured bacterium. RNAcentral's name for it is "partial 16S ribosomal RNA". It matches the Rfam family "Bacterial small subunit ribosomal RNA", at positions 568 to 774 of the family's 1533-position model. The record is from RNAcentral.
UGCGUAGGCGGCGCGGUAAGUUGGGUGUGAAAUACCUCGGCUCAACCGAGGAAUUGCGCUCAAGACUGCCGUGCUCGAGGGAGACAGAGGUAAGCGGAACUUAGGGUGGAGCGGUGAAAUGCGUUGAUAUCCUAAGGAACACCGGUGGCGAAAGCGGCUUACUGGGUCUCUUCUGACGCUGAGGCACGAAAGCUAGGGGAGCGAACG